GACGAACGCUGGCGGCGUGCUUAACACAUGCAAGUCGAGCGGAAAGGCCCUGCUUUUGUGGGGUGCUCGAGUGGCGAACGGGUGAGUAACACGUGAGUAACCUGCCCUUGACUUUGGGAUAACUUCAGGAAACUGAGGCUAAUACCGGAUAGGAGCUCCUGCUGCAUGGUGGGGGUUGGAAAGUUUCGGCGGUUGGGGAUGGACUCGCGGCUUAUCAGCUUGUUGGUGGGGUAGUGGCUUACCAAGGCUUUGACGGGUAGCCGGCCUGAGAGGGUGACCGGCCACAUUGGGACUGAGAUACGGCCCAGACUCCUACGGGAGGCAGCAGUGGGGAAUAUUGCACAAUGGGCGGAAGCCUGAUGCAGCAACGCCGCGUGCGGGAUGACGGCCUUCGGGUUGUAAACCGCUUUCGCCUGUGACGAAGCGUGAGUGACGGUAAUGGGUAAAGAAGCACCGGCUAACUACGUG
RNAcentral lists this ribosomal RNA (468 nucleotides) under uncultured bacterium. Its description in RNAcentral is "partial 16S ribosomal RNA". It matches the Rfam family "Bacterial small subunit ribosomal RNA", at positions 28 to 507 of the family's 1533-position model. The record is from RNAcentral.